GACGAACGCUGGCGGCGUGCCUAAUACAUGCAAGUCGAACGAGAGCGACCGGUGCUUGCACUGGUCAAUCUAGUGGCGAACGGGUGAGUAACACGUGGGUAACCUGCCCAUCAGAGGGGGAUAACAUUCGGAAACGGAUGCUAAGACCGCAUAGGUCUUCGAACCGCAUGGUUUGAAGAGGAAAAGAGGCGCAAGCUUCUGCUGAUGGAUGGACCCGCGGUGCAUUAGCUAGUUGGUGAGGUAACGGCUCACCAAGGCCGUGAUGCAUAGCCGACCUGAGAGGGUGAUCGGCCACAUUGGGACUGAGACACGGCCCAAACUCCUACGGGAGGCUGCAGUAGGGAAUCUUCCGCAAAGGACGCAAGUCUGACGGAGCAACGCCGCGUGAGUGAAGAAGGUUUUCGGAUCGUAAAACUCUGUUGUUAGAGAAGAACAAGUGCUAGAGUAACUGUUAGCGCCUUGACGGUAUCUAACCAGAAAGCCACGGCUAACUACGUG
This 498-nucleotide ribosomal RNA is filed under the name uncultured bacterium. Its description in RNAcentral is "partial 16S ribosomal RNA". It matches the Rfam family "Bacterial small subunit ribosomal RNA", at positions 28 to 507 of the family's 1533-position model. The record is from RNAcentral.